UACGUAGGGGGCUAGCGUUGUCCGUAAUCAUUGGGCGUAAAGCGCGUGUAGGCGGUCCGGUAAGUCCGCUGUGAAAGCCCGGAGCUUAACUCCGGAGGGUCGGUGGAUACUGCCAGUCUUGAAGGUGCUAGGGGGAGAUGGAAUUACCGGUGUAGCGGUGAAAUGCGUAGAUAUCGGUAGGAACACCAGUGGCGAAGGCGGUCUCCUGGGGCAUUCUUGACGCUGAGGCGCGAAAGCUGGGGGAGCAAACGGG
RNAcentral lists this ribosomal RNA (253 nucleotides) under uncultured bacterium. RNAcentral's name for it is "partial 16S ribosomal RNA". It matches the Rfam family "Bacterial small subunit ribosomal RNA", at positions 524 to 776 of the family's 1533-position model. The record is from RNAcentral.